This 343-nucleotide unclassified non-coding RNA is filed under the name soil metagenome. Its description in RNAcentral is "partial contains 5.8S ribosomal RNA, internal transcribed spacer 2, and large subunit ribosomal RNA". The stretch from base 1 to 120 matches the Rfam family "5.8S ribosomal RNA", at positions 35 to 154 of the family's 154-position model. The record is from RNAcentral.
GAUGAAGAACGUAGCGAAAUGCGAUAAGUAAUGUGAAUUGCAGAAUUCAGUGAAUCAUCGAAUCUUUGAACGCACAUUGCGCCCGCUAGUAUUCUGGCGGGCAUGCCUGUCCGAGCGUCAUUUCAACCCUCAAGCCCCCGGGCUUGGUGUUGGGGAUCGGCGAGCCUCCGCGCCCGCCGUCCCCUAAAUCUAGUGGCGGUCUCGCUGUAGCUUCCUCUGCGUAGUAGCACACCUCGCACUGGGAAACAGCGCGGCCACGCCGUUAAACCCCCAACUUCUGAACGUUUGACCUCGGAUCAGGUAGGAAUACCCGCUGAACUUAAGCAUAUCAAUAAGCGAAGGA